GCUGGCGGUGCGCCUUAUGCAUGCAGUCGAGCGAAGCUUUUAGUAGUUUACUACAGAAAAUGACUGAGCGGCGAACGGGUGAGUAACGCGUGAGCAAUCUACCUUAGUUACAGGGAUAGCCCGAGGAAACUCGGAUUAAUACCUGAUAUUCUUUACAUUUCGCAUGAAAUCAAAAGGAAAGGUCAGCCGAACUAAGAUGAGCUCGCGUUCUAUCAGCUAGUUGGUGAGGUAAUAGCUCACCAAGGCAACGACGGAUAGCUGGUCUGAGAGGACGAUCAGCCACACUGGGACUGAGACACGGCCCAGACUCCUACGGGAGGCUGCAGCAGGGAAUAUUGUGCAAUGAACGAAAGUUUGACACAGCGACACCGCGUGUGGGAUGACGGAUCUAGGUUUGUAAACCACUUUCAGGAGGGAAGAAAAUGACGGUACCUCCACAAGAAGCCCCGGCCAACUACGUGCCAGCAGCCGCGGUAAUACGUAGGGGGCGAGCGUUGUCCGGAUUUAUUGGGCGUAAAGAGCUCGUAGGCGGUUCAACAAGUCGGUCGUAAAAGUUCAGGGCUCAACCCUGAAAUGUCGAUCGAUACUGUUGUGACUAGGAUACG
RNAcentral lists this ribosomal RNA (605 nucleotides) under uncultured bacterium. Its description in RNAcentral is "bacterial SSU rRNA". It matches the Rfam family "Bacterial small subunit ribosomal RNA", at positions 35 to 650 of the family's 1533-position model. The record is from RNAcentral.